UGCCGGGGCGUCCCACGGCCCGCCGGGCACCGGCCCUGCCGGAGCGUCCCACGGCCCGCCGGGCACCGGCCCUGCCGGAGCGUCCCACGGCCCGCCGGGCACCGGCCCUGCCGGAGCGUCCCACGGCCCGCCGGGCACCGGCCCUGCCGGAGCGUCCCACGGCCCGCCGGGCACCGGCCCUGCCGGAGCGUCCCACGGCCCGCCGGGCACCGGCCCUGCCGGAGCGUCCCACGGCCCGCCGGGCACCGGCCCUGCCGGAGCGUCCCACGGCCCGCCGGGCACCGGCCCUGCCGGAGCGUCCCACGGCCCGCCGGACACCGGCCCUGCCCGGGCGUCCCACGGCCCGCCGGGCACCGGCCCUCCCGGAGCGUCCCACGGCCCGCCGGGCCGGGACAGCGGCUCCCCACAGCCCGGCCGGGACAGCGGCUCCCCACAGCCCGGCCGGGACAGCGGCUCCCCACAGGGGCCGGGACAGCGGAUCCCCACAGCCCGGCCGGGCAGGUACAGCAGCUCCCCACAGCCUCGCCGGGCAGGUACAGCAGCUCCCCGCCACGAUUCCCUCCCUCUCUACCCCCUUUCUUUACCCUCCCCCUCCCUCCCUUCUUCUUCCUUCCCAAAUGGGCAGAGAAGGGAGGCAAGUCACGAACCCUCCCUGAAAGUGCAGAUUGGUGAUGGCGGGAAAUGGAUUUGUAGGGAGUUCUCAAAGCCUGACAGAAGGCUCACGCACUGUGCAUCUCUAUGCAACCUGGAGAUAAGAAAUGCUGACUUAGAAAUGCCGCGGAAUAGGAAGGACAACUGUUGAGAGAGAAUUAGAACUAGAAAUAAGUUUCAAAUGAUGGCCUUGCAAAUAAGACUAGAUACUUUGGAGAAUUAGAGCUAUCAAAGAUGCAUUGUGUUAGGACCCGCAAGAGGUAAUUUUAGAUGAUUAGAUGAUUUAAGGCAUUUACAACAUGGCGUAGCUAAAGCUGGUAGGCCAGGAAACGUUUAUAUUGUAUUGUAAUUAGGAAAUAAUUGUCUUCUAAUUGUGAUGGCGUGAAUUAUAACAUCUGUAUUGUCUCACCCUUCACAUGAGGCUAAUAAUAGAAUAAAUGUUUUAAAAU
This 1100-nucleotide long non-coding RNA is filed under the name Taeniopygia guttata (zebra finch). RNAcentral's name for it is "lncRNA (ENSTGUG00000029318.1)". Lineage: Eukaryota; Metazoa; Chordata; Aves; Passeriformes; Estrildidae. The record is from RNAcentral.